RNAcentral lists this long non-coding RNA (1042 nucleotides) under Homo sapiens (human). RNAcentral describes it as "HSALNT0130116". Lineage: Eukaryota; Metazoa; Chordata; Mammalia; Primates; Hominidae. The record is from RNAcentral.
CCUGGGGACCCCAGCUUCAAAAUGGGAUAAGUGUCUUGCCUGAUCAUUUUAUUUGGGGGUUAAGCCCCUGCAGAAUUAGAGAACCCCCCCGCCAAGUAUGUAUUUAAAGUCCAGAAGUUCUUAAACUUUUUUUGUGCCCUGGACCUCUUUGGCAAGGAGACUGGGACAAUGGCCUUAACUAGUGAGAAGUAGCAGAAUCCUUGUAUAAGAAGACCUAUAGGGAGCAGGAAGGAAGCUGGCCAGGAAUAUGCCUAGAAUAUUUUACUUUUUUUGUGUGGGUAGUGGGGAGGGACUGGAAAUACCUUCAAGACAGAAUGCAAGAUGGGACUGAGUCUCCAAGACCUGGAAUCCCUCAUGUUAAAUCAUUUGGAUAAAUGCAGCCUUAUAUAGUUGUGUUAAGGAGACCAAGGGGAGAGGUUUGCAUCCAAGUUGGAACCACAGUAAGAGAUACGUAGUCAUAUAUAAAUAUAUGUAUUACUCAGGGAGAGCCAUAAGGAGACAGAAGUUUCAGGUGGGAAGGCAAGAGCAUAAUGGCCACGUGGUCUGUUCCUCCUUACCUGGCCAGUCCCCUGUCAGCGUUUUCUCUGCUCAAACAAUAGGGGUGUGUGGGCAUUGCUAGAAUAAUGGAAGCUGUUUGUUCUUUUUUUUUUUUUUAAUCAUCUCUCCAUCUUCUUUCCUUUGCGACUGGACAGUAUAUUCCAUGAAAGCAGAAACUAUUUGAUACUUCUUUUAUAUAACCAAUAAUAGUAGAUAUGAAAAAAGAAAAUGCUUUCUAAUUCUCUCCACUAUUGAAAUAGGGUAUCAGACCCUGCCACGAACUACACUAAACGAUUAAAAUCUAAGCAGACCUGCAACUGAUUAUUAUCUCAUUCCUUCCCGCGGUUUUAUAGAUGUAGAUUUGGCUUAUUUCUUCAUGCACAUACACCGAAGAUGGAUUCUGUCACCAUAAUCUCAUCUCCUCAAUCUGCAAUUCAGUUGUUAGUGUCUUCUUCUUGCACAUCUUCAUCUGCCACCCCAUGGGAUGUAGCUCUCCAUUCAUAAU